AGCCCCUUUCUGUUCAAAAAAAUAAAAUAAUAAUAAUAAAAAAAAUCUGUUCUUAUCAGUUUAAUAUCUGAUACGUCCCCUAUCUGGGGACCAUAUAUUAAAUGGAUUUUUCGAACAGGUAGAUGGAAAAAGAGCUUGCUCUGUUCACUCCACACAUUGACCUGGUAUUGCAGUACCUCCAGGACCGGCUCUGCCCAG
Bufo bufo (common toad) is the source of this 198-nucleotide small nuclear RNA. RefSeq annotates it as U2 spliceosomal RNA. The transcript has a single exon. The record is from RefSeq and is a predicted model, not a curated record. Lineage: Eukaryota; Metazoa; Chordata; Amphibia; Anura; Bufonidae.